Molecule: ribosomal RNA, 253 nt
Filed under: uncultured bacterium
Lineage: Bacteria
Description: partial 16S ribosomal RNA
Rfam family: Bacterial small subunit ribosomal RNA
Source: RNAcentral
UACGGGGGGGGCAAGCGUUGUUCGGAAUUACUGGGCGUAAAGGGCUUGUAGGUGGCCAACUAAGUCCGACGUGAAAUCCCUAGGCUUAACCUAGGAACUGCGUCGGAUACUGGAUGGCUUGAAUCCGGGAGAGGGAUGCGGAAUUCCAGGUGUAGCGGUGAAAUGCGCAGAUAUCGGGAGGAACACCAAUGGCGAAGGCAGCUCGCUGGGACGUGACUGACGCUGAGACGCGAAAGCGUGGGGAGCAAACAGG